AUGAUGAACAUGUGCAUCAACAUGAUUCGUAUCGAGCACCAUCGCAAGGACAUCAAUUUAGUAGCCAGCAAGUAUAUUGACAUGGUAGUUGAAGCCAUGAAUGCACGCUUAGCUGAUCAUGAAAAGAAGGUAGGCAGGAAGUUAAUGGAAAUUGAGCACAGAUUUGAUGUCAAAUACCAGACGCUAGGUGAAGACUUGAUCGACAUGAAGACUAAAACUGGCACUAAUCCUAGGUUGUCGAAGGCCGAGGACGAAAUUAAAGACUUAAGGAGGGAACUACAUGAAUUAAAAUACGAAUUUACAAGCAACCGACAAUCAGUGUCACAGAAAGGAGGCGUGCAGGAUCAAGUCAAUGUGUGCAAUUCAUCACUGACAGGAACUCCUAGGGCUAGCCAAUUCACGGCAGGGACUUCGACUACACCAAGUGCAAGACAUGUGACGGAAAACAAUGAGAAACCACAAUUAACUCCGAUGAAGCCUGUCUUUGGUAAUGAUUACAAGUUCACGGAUGAGGACAUAGAGACAGCCGUUUACAUCCGCGGAACAUACGACCCUGUUGAAAUAGCUAGAAUCGGAGACAUUACCCUCAUAGCAGAAAAACUGAAGCGAAAUUUGGACGACAAAUACAUUUAUGGUGAUGUUAUUAUGGCAUAUGCUCGCAUUAGCCAAAUUGCGAAUGAUACUACCUCAAUCAUAUCCCCUGAAGAAACCGAAAAGCUGUUACAAAUGAAGGGGGUGGUUCCUGUUGGACGUGCAGCCUCAUGGUUAGCUCGUGUAGCAGAAAAAUUUGUAGGGCGCCGAAAGGUGCAUGUCCCACUGAAUGUACACCAAAACCAUUGGAUGCUAAUGAUGUUUAAUUUUGACAAAAAAGAAAUUCAGACUCUGAACUCCAUGAAUUAUCAUUGCGAGAAGACCAAGGAAGAUUCUCUUGUGGACUCGAUUCAGUUCUGCAUCGACGAAGCUGUCAAGAAUGGGUUGAUAUCACCAGCUAAGAACAUCAAUUUUGCCGAAUGGACCAAAAAACGCUAUGAGAACAUACCACAACAGACCGAUGGGACUUCCUAUGCGGUUUGGACACUGCAGUACAUGUUGUCAUGGAACGGGGAUGAAAUGACCGAUAUUUUCAACCAGGUAAUUGAAUGCCUAAUUUACAUUUGUACUUUGUUUAGCUUGAAAGCUAUGCUGAUAACUAACGUAGCACUCUCUCUUAUACAGAAGGAGGUGUACGAUGUCCAGCAAGCAGUUCUACCUGAUGGUUCAGAAGACGACGUACAAUUAGUCAACAAUCCUGAUGGUUCCAACGAACCCGACACAUCCAACUCCCAGAAGGAUACCGGUCACCCAACUCCCCCAAAAGUGGUGCACCCAACUCCCCAAAAAGGAAGAGAGCACGUGGACGCCCGAGAAAGCUAG
This 1413-nucleotide ribosomal RNA is filed under the name Triticum aestivum (bread wheat). Its description in RNAcentral is "partial small subunit ribosomal RNA". The record is from RNAcentral. Lineage: Eukaryota; Viridiplantae; Streptophyta; Magnoliopsida; Poales; Poaceae.